GGAUUAGAUACCCUGGUAGUCCACGCCCUAAACGAUGCGAACUGGAUGUUGGGUGCAAUUUGGCACGCAGUAUCGAAGCUAACGCGUUAAGUUCGCCGCCUGGGGAGUACGGUCGCAAGACUGAAACUCAAAGGAAUUGACGGGGGCCCGCACAAGCGGUGGAGUAUGUGGUUUAAUUCGAUGCAACGCGAAGAACCUUACCUGGCCUUGACAUGUCGAGAACUUUCCAGAGAUGGAUUGGUGCCUUCGGGAACUCGAACACAGGUGCUGCAUGGCUGUCGUCAGCUCGUGCCG
RNAcentral lists this ribosomal RNA (294 nucleotides) under uncultured bacterium. Its description in RNAcentral is "partial 16S ribosomal RNA". It matches the Rfam family "Bacterial small subunit ribosomal RNA", at positions 775 to 1067 of the family's 1533-position model. The record is from RNAcentral.